This 440-nucleotide long non-coding RNA is filed under the name Lepisosteus oculatus (spotted gar). Its description in RNAcentral is "lncRNA (ENSLOCG00000021282.1)". Lineage: Eukaryota; Metazoa; Chordata; Actinopteri; Semionotiformes; Lepisosteidae. The record is from RNAcentral.
GGCAGGGGAAUUCAGUCCCAAUGGAGCUCCUCACUUAAAGUAGAUAAUCUUAUGUUUCCUUCAUUAACAUGUGAUCUUGAUUGUCUUUUUUGAAUGCCUGGCUUUCACAGACUGCUUGCCUGGGUUUCUCCAUUGUCAUUUCGAAACUGAUCUAUGAUAACAAACAGAAGAGGAGGGCUGCUUCACGUUGUCAGUGAGCCCCCCGUGUACACAGAUGUGAGAUAGAUUGGAGGGGUCCCAAGAUCUACAACCAAGACAUCAGCUGCUAAAUAUAAGUUCACAGUUCAGGGGAAGUGCUCUGGAGCCUGCACUGGGGAUGGAGCCUGUCUGAAUUCAUCAUUGAGCUUGUCUUCAGGGAAAGGGAGAACAAGGGUUCUGCACUGCGAAAACCCAGGUAGGACCACAGCUCAGGGGCAGUCUGCCUUGGUAACCAAUUCUGU